RNAcentral lists this long non-coding RNA (236 nucleotides) under Capsicum annuum. RNAcentral's name for it is "long non-coding RNA (CANN_LNC011231)". The record is from RNAcentral. Lineage: Eukaryota; Viridiplantae; Streptophyta; Magnoliopsida; Solanales; Solanaceae.
GGGGACCUUAUAUUAUUCAUGAUCAGGUGCUGGGUGGUGAGUCAUAGAGGGUUAUUAUGGAUUCUGAGGGUAUUCUAAGGUAUGAUGGCUGCAUUUUGUUUUGAGGGUUAGUGAAUUGAUUUAAUUGAUAUUGCAUGAGGUUUAUAUCUCUAGAUACCCUAUUCAACAUGGGAAAGAAAAACUGUAUAGGUAUUUGAGGAAGCACUACUGGUGAAGUAUCAUGAACAGAGAUGCAG